GUUAUUGAUUGCUCCAGGUCAAAUGUGAGUGACCUGUGGAGGGACACAAGGAGCAAAAGAUGCUGGCUUCUUGUUUUUUUCCUGAAGCAGAAACUACAGAGGGAGCUGGUUCUUGAACCCCAACUCCAGGCUCCAGCCCACGCCCUGCACGCAUGCUGCCUCCUCUCUUGGCUACUGUUCGGAGCACUCAGCCAGAACCAGGCGGCCAUGUGUCAAGAUGCCAAAUCCUGUCGGUGCUAUUUUUGACAGCAGCCAUGACUUACCACCAAUCCUUGGACUUAGAGGGCCAGGAGGGCCCAUCUUCUCAGACACAUCUGGCGUAGUUCUGUUUUGUCUGCCUUGACAGCAUCCUGGAAAUACCCAAGCUUCCACGAAACAGAAAAUCUGACAAGCACCAGUACCUCAGUGAGGCACAAGUUGAGCAAAGAAUCCAGAAGCAUGAUGAUUGCCAAGAUUCUUGGUUGAAGAUCAAGCUGCUGGAAAAUGUUCUUCUCUGGUUUCAUUCCAUCUGAAUCAAUGACUAUUGAAGUUUUCCAUGUCCUUAUAUUGACUCAACAAGUGUCUCAAGGGUAUUUCCAUCCUCAGUUAGCUCACUUUCUUUGCUUAUUCAUCCCCAGUUGCUGCGUGGACUGAGACAGGAUAUCUGUGAUUAAUGACUCAGUACUAUUUCAGGAAUCGCCACAUUUUCCAUUUGCUGAGUCACCUAGCAGUUUUUUUUUUGUUCACCUGUUAGAUGCAUAGCUGUGGCUCGACACAGGUGACCGGCAACUCCUGAAGCUCAUAUGCAAUUGCAAAACUAUGAUCUAAACAAAGACCUUUUGCAUAUUUCAAUUUGACAAUUUUCUCCCUUUGAAUGAGUUAUUGGAGGACAAAGAUGGAUUUAUCAGAGUUGUCUUUGGAUUGCCAGUGGCUUUCACUGUACCUGGGGCACCAUAAGACAUCUGUAGGCAAUAACCAUUGAAUAAUGAAAUAGUAUAAUCUUGAGGCACCUUGAAGACAGUUUGUGUUUUGUGAGUUGUCAUGGUUUUAAGGAUUGAAAACUCAUUUUAGGAAGAAACAAGCUUAGGCCAAUAUCUAAGAAUGUAUUUAAAUGCCUCGUGAUCAGAAAAUAAUGAAAGAAGCUAGCUGAAUAAAGUCUGCACAGGAUGUAAUCAGCACAGCCUCACUGAGAAUACCUGAAGCUGGUGUUUCCUGCUUCUGUCCCUGGUAUCUUUAUGAUAUUAGCUUUCAAUCCACAUCUGUUGCUCCUACUAACAUCCUCCUUCGAAUACAGGACAGAAUUCCAUGAAAUAAAUACUUGUGCUUGUCAAGAAUCUCUAAGAGCUAUAGCAGACUCAGUGAUUCACAAGAAAGAAUGAUAAGACUAAGCAGGGAGUCAUACAGCUAUAGUUAGUUAUAGUGAUAUGAUAACAGGAAAAAGCAGCACAGUGAGAAGGUACAUGAGCUGAAGUCCAGAGAAGCCAGUUACAAUCUCCAGCAAAUCCUCCCUGGCAACACGGCCACACAUGCUUAAUUCUCCAGCAUCUAACUGUGACAACAGGUAUGAACUGUUGCCUGUAGAAGAAGCUCUUCAGAGACUUAACCUCCAAGGUGUUGACUUGGGCUGGUCACAAGGCACUCUGACCCUAAUACAAAACUUCCAUACUCCUGAGAGCAAAACUGAUGUACAACAAACAUCAUGUUAUGUGUACAAACAAUUUAGAUAGAGUAAUCAUCCUGUCAGAGAACGGUGGGAACACUGUGAAAUUCAAAUUACUAGCUGUCAGCUAAGACCUCCUUACCAAUAGCCUUUUAAACAUCACAGUUCCAAAUAUACUAUGUCACCUCUUUUCCACACACAUGGAAAACAAGCUCAUCGUCUUUCCCCACUCUGGAACAAUACCAGCUCUGCCUGGAUAUUUCCUUAGCUGAUUUAAUUCAGCUCAGAUUCUCAAUCUAGGAAGAUGUUUAAAUUGGGAAAACUUGAAUCCAUUAGUGGCCUGAGAAGCAAAAUCCAACUGAGAAGAAGAACCUGGAGAUAUGAAAGGGAGAAUGAUGAAUGAAAGGGAGGAGGAAGGAGACACAAAAAUACAACUUAUGAACUUCAACAAGGAAUGAAAUGUUUUAUGGUUUGAAAUGGGAAUAACAGCCAGAUUGGUACACAGAUUUAGAGCAAAAUCAUGGGACAUGCUGACUAGUCACUUAAUUUUUGUUAUUAUUAUGUCAAGUUUUCUUACCAAAAUUGAGGCAUUAGUGUGACAGAGUUCUUAAUAGUGAUGAUUUUCUCAUGAACAGUGAAGGGCACUGGAAAGCUAGUUGCUCAACAAUAAGCAAAAGCAUUGGUAGGUAAUAUUAGAAACCUCAUUGAGGAUGAAAUCAUAAUUCUCUCCUAACAAUGUUCAGCCUUUGCACUGGCAUCAAAAACAUAGCUUGGAACAGUAUUCUAUGCUGUAACUUAUUGAAUGCAUGUUAUAAAAAGCAGAAGAGAGGAAAGUGGAGGAUCUCAAUGAUAUUAAUAACAAGAUGAAAAUGGGAUGAGGAAACGCUGACUCUGAAAGAAAAGAAGUACAGCAAGUGUGAAGAGUAGACAGUAUAGAAGUGGUGAUACAAUAAACUGAACUUUUCCUCACAGUAGAUUAUCAGUAUUUAGGAAUUUGAAGAUGGAGAAUCCCAUGGGUUUGCCUUAAGAAGCAGUGCCUAAAAGGAUGACAGAAGGCCAGUGGAGUUGCAGGUGAAGCAGAGAAUUCCAAAGUCACUAGAGAUAGUGCUGCACUCAGAUGGAGCAAAAAUAAUGAUCUCAGGUGCCAGAUUCUUCAAUAGAUGUGUUCAGUCGGCUUCCAAGACAGCAGGAAAUUGAGACAAACAGUAGACACAGAUGUGGUGAGAAGAAAUUUGCUCUAGUGGACCAAUGAUAUCUAGAGGGUAUUUGGGGAAACGGUUUGAAAGCCUCAAUGGACAGUGAAGAAUGUACUUAACCCCAUCUGCGGUACCUACUUCCUGGAGCAUUUCUUUAAGGACUGGAAGGAAGUGGUACAUUUGGGUAUUCUAGAUUGUUUUUGUGAUUCAUCAACUUCAUUGCAUUAAGAAAUGCCUAGCAAGUUAGUAAAGCCCAAGUGCAGGCAUAGCUGGGUGGAUCAGAAAGUGUGACCUGGGUGCUGCACAUGGUCCUUCACUCCUCCCCUGUCUCACAACUCUGACCGGAAGGUCACCAUGAACUAAAGCAUCUUUGCUCCACUUUGUCUUUCUGCCAUGGACUGAACCAUGGACUGAAUCCUUUGAAACCAUGAAGUUGUGAGCAUUGGGUAUCAUGUCCCCCAAGGAAAGCCAACCAAUACAGAAUCCCUUACUGAAUGUUUGUAUUCAAAAGUGUUACAGCAUUUGGAAUAUUUUGAAAUAUUUGUGUGUAAGUAAUAAUGUGUCUUGAGGAUGGGGCCCAAUUCUAAAAACAACAUUCAUUUAUAUUUCAUAGAUACCAUAUCCACAUAGCCUGAAGGUAAUUUUAAUCAGCAUUUUAAGGCACCUGUGUUUUGUCUGCAACUCAUCACAUAAAGUCAGGUGUGUAAUUUUCCACUUGUGGCAUCAUGUCUUGAAUUUGGGGGCAUUAUAGGUUUCAGAUAUUUGGAGGAGAGAUAACCUGCAUAAAGUUCAAUUAGAAAAACAGACCGGGCAACCAAACCUAAGUCACGUUUUACCUCUUCCAAAUCAUUUUCACUGUGAUAUAAAUUGACUACCUAUAGUCAUCUGGCCUCUCUUUUUCAGGGUUAGUAACUACAUCAGAAACUUUUAACAACAAUCAGCAAAUACUUGUAUUUAAGCUAACAUGACAUAGGCAAGUUCACUUUUAUGAAACCUAUUCAUUUUUAAAGAAUGAAUUUAAGCAACCUUGACAGUUAAAUUCAAAUUAUUAUUAAAAGCUACUUUUUAGUUAAAACAUAGGUGCUUCUUAAAGUUUUGCCUGAAGUUAAGCAUAUCCACUCACCAUGGUUUUAAGAUAAGAGUUUCGUGUACAGAUAACUUUAUUCUUGGAAAAAUGUGUGUUUACUAUAAAUAACAUAAAGCAUAUCACCAACAAUAGCACACCCUAAUACAUAUUAAAAUCUGGUUGUCACCUAAGAUUAAUGAGUGGUUAUUUAGGACUGAACACAUGUUAAAACCAUUGGGCCACAAAGUAGCCCAUUAAAAUAGCACAGAUACAAAAGCAUAAUACAGCACAGAAGUAGUUCAGCUAUGGAAAUAUUUAAUCUGUCCAUCACUUUAAAAUUAUUCAAUAUUUAUAAUUCUCAUGUUUUAUGCAGAAAUCAGCAAUCUCUAGGAUCCUGUAUGAGAGUACUAAACAGUUUCAUAUGCUCUCCAGGUGUCUUUCUCAGAAUUACUCCCCUGAAACAUUUUAAAGUGAUAUUAUUCUAGAAAAGCAAUGAUCACUAUAAGAAAUGCAGUAACUGACAAAUACGUUACUCCUACUGGUGUUGUAAUUUCUGUUGAACAUAUGGAGUCACUUAGGGACUUUUUCAAUUUCUCCAGAGACAUAAUAUCAUGAAGUCAUAUAAUAAAAACAAUUAUAGAACUUAAUAAUUUUAGAACUCAGUAUGUCCCUGACAUUACAUCAAGUAGCUCUAUUGUUUUAGUUAAUCCUCAGGAAACAGCAUUAAAAACUGUAAGGUAAACAUUUUACUUUCCAUUUCACAAAUGAAAGAACUAAAGGAUAGAUAAUGGAAUAAACCAACUCACAAAGCUGUGGAAGACCAGCCUGGGAUUUGAACCAGAUUCUGCCUUUACAGUCUGUCCCUGUCAUGCCCUGCGAAACUUAAAAGCCUAAGAGCCAUGGUCAUACUCUCAGCCAGCGCUGAAGGACCUUCAGGCCUUCCUGGGCUCCCAAAGUAUUACCCAUAAAUUACAGCGGUAGAUUAACCUCCUUUAAAAGGCAGACAGCAUGAGGAAAAUUUUAAUUCAUUAACAAAUGAUUCUUUGACACUUCCUUAAUGAGCUGUCUAUGCUUCUGGACAUCAGACAAUGUGAGAAAAGGAAACUUAGGGCUGAUGGUGCCCAGCUUUCUCCUCUGAAGCUCUUCUUUUUUUUUAAGCCGUUUUCAACAUGGAAAAACUGGCUUUGGCUUAAAUCUCUGCUCUGCUCCAGUGUACCAGCUCCUGGCCUCUCUCUUCUGCCAAGGGUCUUCAUCCAUUACCGGCUUUUGACUGUGCCCCUCUUAGCCUUUCUCUGCCUCCUGGAACUGAAGCGAUGAAAGUCAGACUCCUCAGUGAGGCCGACAGCUCAGAAGGGACAUCUUCAUGUGAACUAGAACUUCACUUGACCUUUACAGGCUUGAGAUAAGCAGCAGAGGACAGGAGACAAUGACUCACUUCUGAAUAAACAAGGGUAACUCUCACACCUGUCUUUGAAAAAAUUUGCCCCAGGAGUCUAGAGUCCUAGUGAACAAUCCAAUUCUGAGAUCCCUUCAAAACAAACCGGAGCCAUGUGCAGCCCAAGGGGCAUUAGUUCCAUGGAGAUCAUGGAAUUCUAAUCCUGCACUAGAACUUGAAAGGCUAAUAUUCAUGAUAAAAAGAAAUGUGUAAAAAACCCUAGAACAACAUCCUGGUAGUGAAUGGAGCUAUUCAGAAACAAAACUUUAAAAAAUAAAAUUUUCCCUGAAAUACAAAUUGAAACACUAAAUCUGCCUAUCUAUCCAUUAUCUAUCUAUCUUCGUCAUCAUCAUCUAGGUACUUACCUAUGUAUCUACCCUGUUUAUCUGUAUGUGGUAUAUGUACAUGUGAUGAUGAUGGGUAUUUAGAAAGAUUAUUGUGUGUAUAAAAUAUUUUACAGUCAAAAGUUUAGGAUAUACAUAAGCAUACAAAUUAUUGUUUUAUACCUCUGUAAUGUCAAUUUUUCUUUAAGAAAGUAUGAGUAAUCGUUGAUUUUAAAGUUGCUUUGGGAUUUAGAGACACACAGUUUAGCUAUAGAGUGUCUCUCAAAUUAAAACAAGAAGCAAUCUCUUAGGUGUUUAUGAGCAAUUUUGUGGAAGCACCUCUGCUUUCCUUAGGUAGCUCUUUUCUCAAUUAGCAAACAUUCAAACGUUUUCCACGCUGUGAAGAUUUGGGCUGUGAAAUUAACCUAUCCCCAGCCUCCACUGAGUAAGACCAGGUGUUUCACAGUAUUUCCCUUUAACCUACAGCAGCACUCCUUUAGGGAAGAAGGGAGGAAGUGGGAUUUCUGACAUUUGUACAGUGAAAAAUUGUCAGUGGACUAUCAAGAAAACACCAGAGGCAUUGUAUCGAGAACCAGUGAACAUGAUCUAGUAAGCACUCACUUUUUAAAUGUAAUACAAGACUCAUCUCCCUUUCUUGCUUAAAACAAAAAGUGCCUCCCUACCCUCCAUAUUUAAACAACAGCUAUCUGAGAUUUAACAAUUGCACCAUUGGACAAAGUUCAAACAAUCCAGGCAGGAAAGAAUGUACAGCUGUCAAAAAACCAACCCGGUCAGAAGUGCUCCAGACAAAUCGCUGUACAUCAUCAGCUGGUUUUAAUUAACAGCCGACUUUGCACUGUUUUUCUCCCCCCUCUCCUUCUUUGGUAACUUUAAACAAAGUGAUUUGUGGUGCUCUGUCUUAUAUGCUGUCUACCCCAGUGGAAGCAGAGGAUGUUCAUGGAAAUAACUUAAGCCAAAGUUCAAAGCAGAUUAUAGCAUCUGACGGAUACCUGGAGAUUUUUAUCUUGGUCUUGGGUUAAUAAGGAGUUAUUUUAUUCAUUUUUCUUACUAAAGGACUGAGUCUUUUGUGAAGGAUGUUUGCAUGGUGGGUAUUAGUCUAGAUUGUUAUGAAUGUGAUCUCAUUUUAAGAACAUUUUUAUCCUGAAGUUAAUGAAAAAAAAAAUACUUUAGGUUAAAAAAAUACUUUAGCCACAGUCAAGAAAGAUUUUUAAAGCUUUAUUUAGUAAAAAACUUUUCUUUGUGAAUAAAGACGUACCUCAAUGGUUAAAUAUUGUGGUGACCAUCGAAUUGUAAAAGUAUAUGUAUUGCAAUAUAUCUUAGAGGAACGCAAUCUGAACCUUGAUUACAUAGAUGAGAAAAUAUCAUCACUCUAUUUACUACUUAUAGGUCAAGUGAAUAAGACUAAUUUCCAGGUCUAGAGUUUCUCCUGAAGUCAAGGAACUUGGUAUACAGAGUCACAGACUACUUAUAUAUAACAUCCAUGGAAGACAACGCUCAAAGUGAUUAGCAAACAUUUAAUAUGUUGACAUAGAAGAUAAUGUUAAAAACUCACAAUACUCUUUUACACAUGAGAAUUUUCAAGUACACCUAAUGCUCACUUUCAUAGAGAUCAGUUAGCAUAGUUAGAGCCCAGUAUCCCCCAACUACCUUGAGUAACUUUGGAUUACUUCACUGAAUGUACUUGAUUCAGGAAUGAUGCCCUAGUCAUCACACACCAAUAUUGGUCCUCCGUAGGUCUGACCAUAUUCUGGAAUAUGGAAAAACAGGGCAAUACAGUGUCUAAAGCCAGCCUCAGGGGCCAAAUCUUGGACAUACCUCCUACUUUUUUCUUAAACUUAAAUGUGUCCCCUAGAUCUCUGUGCCUUGAUUUCCCCAUCCAAAAAGUGGGGGCAAAACUAUUAUUGUCUUCUUAACAUGAUUGUGAGUAUUAAAUGUUGCUACCCAUUAA
Molecule: long non-coding RNA, 7628 nt
Organism: Cavia porcellus (domestic guinea pig)
Lineage: Eukaryota; Metazoa; Chordata; Mammalia; Rodentia; Caviidae
Exons: 2
Source: RefSeq, a predicted model, not a curated record